UCCGAAUUGGUGUAGUGGCUAACAUUUGACGCUCUCAUGGUACGGUGCCGUCAAGCCCGGGGUUCGAUUCCCCGAUUCGGAG
Xylaria sp. FL0064 is the source of this 82-nucleotide non-coding RNA. The record is from the annotation of a GenBank genome assembly. NCBI's taxonomy places the organism in Eukaryota, Fungi, Ascomycota, Sordariomycetes, Xylariales, Xylariaceae.